GAUGAAGAACGCAGCGAAAUGCGAUAAGUAAUGUGAAUUGCAGAGUUCAGUGAAUCAUCGAAUCUUUGAACGCACAUUGCGCCCGCUAGUAUUCUGGCGGGCAUGCCUGUCCGAGCGUCAUUUCAACCCUCAAGCCCCCGGGCUUGGUGUUGGGGAUCGGCGAGCCUCCGCGCCCGCCGUCCCCUAAAUCUAGUGGCGGUCUCGCUGUAGCUUCCUCUGCGUAGUAGCACACCUCGCACUGGGAAACAGCGCGGCCACGCCGUUAAACCCCCAACUUCUGAACGUUUGACCUCGGAUCAGGUAGGAAUACCCGCUGAACUUAAGCAUAUCAAUAAGCGGAGGA
Molecule: unclassified non-coding RNA, 343 nt
Filed under: soil metagenome
Description: partial contains 5.8S ribosomal RNA, internal transcribed spacer 2, and large subunit ribosomal RNA
Rfam family: 5.8S ribosomal RNA (bases 1-120)
Source: RNAcentral